This 1504-nucleotide ribosomal RNA is filed under the name uncultured bacterium. Its description in RNAcentral is "bacterial SSU rRNA". It matches the Rfam family "Bacterial small subunit ribosomal RNA". The record is from RNAcentral.
UAGAGUUUGAUCCUGGCUCAGGAUGAACGCUAGCGACAGGCCUAACACAUGCAAGUCGAGGGGCAUCGGGGCUAGGAGCAAUCCUUGCCGCCGGCGACCGGCGCACGGGUGAGUAACGCGUAUGCGACCUGCCCGUUGCAGGGGGAUAAUCGGGAGAAAUCCCGUCUAAUACCGCGUAAUGCCGCGGGGCUGCAUGGCCCUGCGGCCAAAGGGAGCGAUUCCGGCAACGGAUGGGCAUGCGUGACAUUAGCUAGUUGGCGGGGCAACGGCCCACCAAGGCGACGAUGUCUAGGGGUUCUGAGAGGAAGGUCCCCCACACUGGUACUGAGACACGGACCAGACUCCUACGGGAGGCAGCAGUGAGGAAUAUUGGUCAAUGGGCGCGAGCCUGAACCAGCCAAGUCGCGUGAGGGAUGACGGCCCUACGGGUUGUAAACCUCUUUUGUCGGGGAGCAAAUUCCGUUACGUGUAACGGAGUCGAGAGUACCCGAAGAAAAAGCAUCGGCUAACUCCGUGCCAGCAGCCGCGGUAAUACGGAGGAUGCGAGCGUUAUCCGGAUUUAUUGGGUUUAAAGGGUGCGUAGGCGGACUGUCAAGUCAGCGGUAAAAUACGGGGGCUCAACCUCCGCCCGCCGUUGAAACUGACGGUCUUGAGUGGGCGAGAAGUAUGCGGAAUGCGUGGUGUAGCGGUGAAAUGCAUAGAUAUCACGCAGAACUCCGAUUGCGAAGGCAGCAUACCGGCGCCCAACUGACGCUGAAGCACGAAAGCGUGGGUAUCGAACAGGAUUAGAUACCCUGGUAGUCCACGCAGUAAACGAUGAAUACUAGCUGUCCGGGGCGAAUGAGCCCUGGGUGGCACAGCGAAAGCGUUAAGUAUUCCACCUGGGGAGUACGCCGGCAACGGUGAAACUCAAAGGAAUUGACGGGGGCCCGCACAAGCGGAGGAACACGUGGUUUAAUUCGAUGAUACGCGAGGAACCUUACCCGGGCUCAAACGACACAGGAACGUACCUGAAAGGGUUCGGCUCUACGGAGCCUGUGUCGAGGUGCUGCAUGGUUGUCGUCAGCUCGUGCCGUGAGGUGUCGGCUUAAGUGCCAUAACGAGCGCAACCCCCAUCGACAGUUGCUAACAGGUCAGGCUGAGGACUCUGUCGAGACUGCCGGCGCAAGCUGCGAGGAAGGCGGGGAUGACGUCAAAUCAGCACGGCCCUUACGUCCGGGGCGACACACGUGUUACAAUGGCAGGUACAGCGGGAAGCCACCUGGCGACAGGGAGCGGAACCCGAAAGCCUGUCUCAGUUCGGAUUGGAGUCUGCAACCCGACUCCAUGAAGCUGGAUUCGCUAGUAAUCGCGCAUCAGCCACGGCGCGGUGAAUACGUUCCCGGGCCUUGUACACACCGCCCGUCAAGCCAUGGAAGCCGGGGGUGCCUGAAGUGCGCUGCCGCGAGGAGCGCCCUAGGGUAAAACCGGUGACUGGGGCUAAGUCGUAACAAGGUAACCGUAA